This 76-nucleotide transfer RNA is filed under the name Alloiococcus otitis. Its description in RNAcentral is "tRNA-Arg(tcg)". It matches the Rfam family "tRNA". Rfam says of the family: Transfer RNA (tRNA) molecules are approximately 80 nucleotides in length. Their secondary structure includes four short double-helical elements and three loops (D, anti-codon, and T loops). Lineage: Bacteria; Bacillati; Bacillota; Bacilli; Lactobacillales; Carnobacteriaceae. The record is from RNAcentral.
UGCACCGUUGGCUCAACUGGAUAGAGCAUCUGACUUCGGAUCAGAGGGUUAUGGGUUCGAAUCCUAUACGGUGCGU